Molecule: non-coding RNA, 362 nt
Organism: Cinara cedri
Lineage: Eukaryota; Metazoa; Arthropoda; Insecta; Hemiptera; Aphididae
Source: the annotation of a GenBank genome assembly
UAAUACCGUUAUACCAAAUUAUCGUGAAAUAUCGUGUCUGGCCCCUUAUCAUUUGUCUAACAAACGGUAACUCUUCGUUUCGCAGCGUUUUAAUAAUGAUAUAUUAUGAUAAGCUUCAAAAAUAUAAUAUCGGGAAGUGGAAGAAAAAUUUUCAACUGAAAUAAUUUUAUUCGUACGCACUACUACUACCACACAAUAUAUAGGAGUAUCUGCCCGCAUUAUACAAGUGGUGAAUGUAUCGUAUUAUUUAAAAAAUUACAAUAAUAUAUGGAAGGAUUACAUAAUAAAAUCUGAUUGUACGAUUGACGGUAGGUAAAACGAUUUCUCAUAGUUCUCGUAUCCUCCUCGUCUCUAAAAACAUA